AACGGGGGGGGCCAGCGUUAUUCGGAUUACUAGGCGUAAAGGGCGCGUAGGCGGCCUUCUAAGUCGAACGUGAAAUCCCCGGGCUCAACCCGGGAACUGCGUCCGAUACUGGAAGGCUUGAAUCCGGGAGAGGGAUGCGGGAAUUCCAGGUGUAGCGGUGAAAUGCGUAGAGUAUCUGGAGGAACACCGGUGGCGAAGGCGGCGAUCCUGGACCGG
Molecule: ribosomal RNA, 216 nt
Filed under: uncultured bacterium
Lineage: Bacteria
Description: partial 16S ribosomal RNA
Rfam family: Bacterial small subunit ribosomal RNA
Source: RNAcentral